RNAcentral lists this transfer-messenger RNA (363 nucleotides) under Flavobacteriales. RNAcentral's name for it is "SP256 sp002714185 Standard tmRNA". It matches the Rfam family "transfer-messenger RNA". Rfam says of the family: Bacterial tmRNA, also known as 10Sa RNA or SsrA, is named for its dual tRNA and mRNA-like properties. Lineage: Bacteria; Pseudomonadati; Bacteroidota; Flavobacteriia. RNAcentral also lists the same sequence under 1 other name. The record is from RNAcentral.
GGGGAUGACCGGCUUUGACAGCAAGGUUAAUAAAAUAAUAAGCAUGUCGAGUAUUGUUAUACUCUCUCGUAAAAAAAGUAUGCAAAAUUUUAAUUGGCGAGAAUAACUACGCUUUAGCUGCUUAAUUUAAUAUUAAUUAGCUUUUGUUCCCGUAUUAGGUUUUUUCAACACCUAAAACAUGGAACAUCAUUUAAGUUGAAAUAGCUUUAAUAACACCUGGGUAUUAAAGUGAAAUUUACCAGGAUAAGGUUAAUUUUGGUUGUGUUAUAGCUGAGUUAAUUCGAAAACUAAAUAACACUAAACAUGUAGAAAAUUAUUAUGUUACUUGUUUGGACCAGGGUUCGAUUCCCUGCAUCUCCACUA